RNAcentral lists this ribosomal RNA (800 nucleotides) under Levilactobacillus brevis. RNAcentral describes it as "bacterial SSU rRNA". It matches the Rfam family "Bacterial small subunit ribosomal RNA", at positions 566 to 1366 of the family's 1533-position model. Lineage: Bacteria; Bacillati; Bacillota; Bacilli; Lactobacillales; Lactobacillaceae. The record is from RNAcentral.
CGAGCGCAGGCGGUUUUUUAAGUCUGAUGUGAAAGCCUUCGGCUUAACCGGAGAAGUGCAUCGGAAACUGGGAGACUUGAGUGCAGAAGAGGACAGUGGAACUCCAUGUGUAGCGGUGGAAUGCGUAGAUAUAUGGAAGAACACCAGUGGCGAAGGCGGCUGUCUAGUCUGUAACUGACGCUGAGGCUCGAAAGCAUGGGUAGCGAACAGGAUUAGAUACCCUGGUAGUCCAUGCCGUAAACGAUGAGUGCUAAGUGUUGGAGGGUUUCCGCCCUUCAGUGCUGCAGCUAACGCAUUAAGCACUCCGCCUGGGGAGUACGACCGCAAGGUUGAAACUCAAAGGAAUUGACGGGGGCCCGCACAAGCGGUGGAGCAUGUGGUUUAAUUCGAAGCUACGCGAAGAACCUUACCAGGUCUUGACAUCUUCUGCCAAUCUUAGAGAUAAGACGUUCCCUUCGGGGACAGAAUGACAGGUGGUGCAUGGUUGUCGUCAGCUCGUGUCGUGAGAUGUUGGGUUAAGUCCCGCAACGAGCGCAACCCUUAUUAUCAGUUGCCAGCAUUCAGUUGGGCACUCUGGUGAGACUGCCGGUGACAAACCGGAGGAAGGUGGGGAUGACGUCAAAUCAUCAUGCCCCUUAUGACCUGGGCUACACACGUGCUACAAUGGACGGUACAACGAGUUGCGAAGUCGUGAGGCUAAGCUAAUCUCUUAAAGCCGUUCUCAGUUCGGAUUGUAGGCUGCAACUCGCCUACAUGAAGUUGGAAUCGCUAGUAAUCGCGGAUCAGCAUGCCGCGGUGAA